RNAcentral lists this long non-coding RNA (452 nucleotides) under Gallus gallus (chicken). RNAcentral describes it as "long non-coding RNA NONGGAT003321". The record is from RNAcentral. Lineage: Eukaryota; Metazoa; Chordata; Aves; Galliformes; Phasianidae.
GGAGAUGGCUGAAGGUGUACUGUGAAGCCUUUUGCUGUGGUCUGACUGUACAGAUCCCAGAACCCAUUCCAGCUGCAGAUACAGUGUGUGCUUCUCAAGUAAAUGGGCACACUGGGAGCCUACAGACUUACUCAGGGGGCCUCUUGCAGUACCUGUAGAAGAAAAGACCAGGAGAUGCUUUGUGUCCUGUGGGGAUAGCUGUGCUACACCUCUAUCCAGCUGAGCCUUGGAACUUCCUCUUCGGACAAACUCUUUGACAGAAGGAGUUCCUGCAGCGGCGACCCCCUGACGAGGCAGAGGAUUCCUGAUAGUUACCAGCAGAGCCGCGGUGAUUCUUGGCCACGUGGGACACUUCAGAGAACUGGGAACAAGGCCUGCUGCCAAACUUGUGCUUGAAGCCCUACAAAGAAAGAGCCAUUUGUCAGACGUCACCCCAACGGGAGCUGCUGAAU